Trametopsis cervina is the source of this 83-nucleotide non-coding RNA. The record is from the annotation of a GenBank genome assembly. Lineage: Eukaryota; Fungi; Basidiomycota; Agaricomycetes; Polyporales; Irpicaceae.
GGCUCAAUGGUCUAGUCGUAUGAUUCCUGCUUUGGGUGUUACGCCGUUGCAGGAGGUCUCGGGUUCAAUUCCCGAUUGAGCCC